Molecule: ribosomal RNA, 254 nt
Filed under: uncultured bacterium
Lineage: Bacteria
Description: partial 16S ribosomal RNA
Rfam family: Bacterial small subunit ribosomal RNA
Source: RNAcentral
GACGGAGGGUGCUAGCGUUGUUCGGAAUCACUGGGCGUAAAGGGCGCGUAGGCGGCCUUGCAAGUCGGCUGGUGAAAGCCCGGGGCUCAACCCCGGAGGUGCGGCCGAGACUGCAGGGCUGGAGGCCGGAAGAGGAGGGUGGAAUACCCAGUGUAGAGGUGAAAUUCGUAGAUAUUGGGUGGAACACCGGUGGCGAAAGCGGCUCUCUGGUCCGGACCUGGCGCUGAGGCGCGAAAGCGUGGGGAGCAAACAGG